RNAcentral lists this ribosomal RNA (449 nucleotides) under uncultured bacterium. Its description in RNAcentral is "partial 16S ribosomal RNA". It matches the Rfam family "Bacterial small subunit ribosomal RNA", at positions 29 to 523 of the family's 1533-position model. The record is from RNAcentral.
AGCGAACGCUGGCGGCAGGCUUAACACAUGCAAGUCGAACGGGCACUUCGGUGCUAGUGGCAGACGGGUGAGUAACACGUGGGAACGUACUUUUCGGUUCGGAAUAAUUCAGGGAAACUUGGACUAAUACCGGAUACGCCCUUCGGGGGAAAGAUUUAUCGCCGAUAGAUCGGCCCGCGUCUGAUUAGCUAGUUGGUGAGGUAAUGGCUCACCAAGGCGACGAUCAGUAGCUGGUCUGAGAGGAUGAUCAGCCACAUUGGGACUGAGACACGGCCCAACCUCCUACGGGAGGCAGCAGUGGGGAAUAUUGGACAAUGGGCGCAAGCCUGAUCCAGCCAUGCCGCGUGAGUGAUGAAGGCCUUAGGGUUGUAAAGCUCUUUUGUCCGGGAAGAUAAUGACUGUACCGGAAGAAUAAGCCCCGGCUAACUUCGUGCCAGCCGCCGCAGUAA